CGCGAACGCUGGCGGCAGGCCUAACACAUGCAAGUCGAACGAUCCUUCGGGAUAGUGGCGGACGGGUGAGUAACACGUGGGAACGUACCUUUUGGUUCGGGAUAACUAAGGGAAACUUUAGCUAAUACCGGAUGAGCCCUUAGGGGGAAAGAUUUAUCGCCGAAAGAGCGGCCCGCGUUAGAUUAGCUAGUUGGUGGGGUAAUGGCUCACCAAGGCGACGAUCAGUAGCUGGUCUGAGAGGAUGAUCAGCCACAUUGGGACUGAGACACGGCCCAAACUCCUACGGGAGGCAGCAGUGGGGAAUAUUGGACAAUGGGCGCAAGCCUGAUCCAGCCAUGCCGCGUGAGUGAUGAAGGCCCUAGGGUUGUAAAGCUC
This 375-nucleotide ribosomal RNA is filed under the name uncultured bacterium. Its description in RNAcentral is "bacterial SSU rRNA". It matches the Rfam family "Bacterial small subunit ribosomal RNA", at positions 29 to 433 of the family's 1533-position model. The record is from RNAcentral.